GAACUGCGAUAAGUAAUGUGAAUUGCAGAAUUCAGUGAAUCAUCGAGUCUUUGAACGCACAUUGCGCCCCCUGGCAUUCCGGGGGGCAUGCCUGUCCGAGCGUCAUUGCUGCCCUUCAAGCCCGGCUUGUGUGUUGGGUCGUCGUCCCCUCCGGGGGACGGGCCCGAAAGGCAGCGGCGGCACCGCGUCCGGUCCUCGAGCGUAUGGGGCUUUGUCACCCGCUCGAUAAGGACCGGCCGGGCGCCAGCCGGCGUCUCCAACCUUUUUUUCUCAGGUUGACCUCGGAUCAGGUAGGGAUACCCGCUGAACUUAAGU
Molecule: unclassified non-coding RNA, 315 nt
Filed under: plant metagenome
Description: partial contains 5.8S ribosomal RNA, internal transcribed spacer 2, and large subunit ribosomal RNA
Rfam family: 5.8S ribosomal RNA (bases 1-105)
Source: RNAcentral